Long non-coding RNA from Gasterosteus aculeatus aculeatus (three-spined stickleback), 505 nucleotides. Lineage: Eukaryota; Metazoa; Chordata; Actinopteri; Perciformes; Gasterosteidae. The record is from Ensembl.
GUACCUCGUUCUCUGUUUUGUUUUUCCAACUCUUUUUGAACCAUUCUUAGUCUGGUCCCUCGCCUGAGAUCUCUGUGCCAGGGGAAACCCUCCAGGAGCACCAGGCUCCAGACAACACAGCCCUCAGGUUCAUUGGGACACGCAAACCUCUCCACCGCGAUAAGGAUAAAAGGCUGUGAUCACAAUUAAGAGAAGAAACAGCACAGCGAAUCGCACUCCACACACGAGCAGGGAGGAACCUGCAUGACCAAAAUCACAAGUCAACUCUGUUCAGAGGCAGAAGAGACAGUUUCACUGGUAGAGACCGUCUCUUCUUUUGAGUGACUACUGACGUCAUUCCUGACCGUUGAUUCUGUGAUGCCAGACUCCUUACCAUCAGGUAACGUUGGUGUGUUUGUGGGGGAAGCUGUUGUUGUCUCAAUACACAGAUAAUUAUUGGCUGCAAACACCCACUGUGAUAUGUGCGUCCCAUCGGCUGAGGUGCAGUUAAUGAAGAUGAAGCCUG